GUAUGCUUUACCACAUCCAGUGUUACUCCACCACUGUGCCAUUAUAGUCCAGUCACGCUUUUGUUAUGCUCUUUAGUUGACUCAUAGAUAUCGGACCUUGUUAUGCAUGUUAUGUGGAUCUUGCCUUCUUGGACUGUAUUGUCGUGCACAACUUAGUUUAUGAUAAAGCCCGUUGAACAUCAUGCCUUUGCCUGCAAGUCCUGCAUUUGGGUCCCUCCCUGCACUGCUGGCUUAUGACAGCAAAAGUAACUAGUAUUCGGCCUUUUUAAUGCACAAGUCAACCAUGAGAGUAAAGGGUCCAAGCUGUGAUUGUUCAUCUGCCGCAUCAAACAAAGAGAGACAUUAUGAAAUUCCAAGGUCAGAGUGACUCAACAUUCAUCGCCAAUUGAUUCCACAGUGGUCUGAGUUCUUUUUCUUACCAUGCGGUGGUCAUCAUUGGGCCCUCUUGGUACGGAGGUCUCCCCGUGGAGUCGAUGUUGGGAGCUGGGUGGAGAGAGGGAAGAAAGGGAGUGCUCUGGACUGCUGGCGUACAGCGAGCAAG
Syngnathoides biaculeatus (alligator pipefish) is the source of this 541-nucleotide long non-coding RNA. RefSeq lists it as uncharacterized. The transcript has 3 exons. The record is from RefSeq and is a predicted model, not a curated record. NCBI's taxonomy places the organism in Eukaryota, Metazoa, Chordata, Actinopteri, Syngnathiformes, Syngnathidae.